Cygnus olor (mute swan) is the source of this 251-nucleotide long non-coding RNA. RefSeq lists it as uncharacterized. The record is from RefSeq and is a predicted model, not a curated record. The transcript has 3 exons. Lineage: Eukaryota; Metazoa; Chordata; Aves; Anseriformes; Anatidae.
GGAGCUGGAGCGUAUGUCUGAUGUUGGAGACGUGUCAGGAUCACAGCCAGUGAGUGACUGUUCAGCAAGGCAACGGCACAGGUCCUGUCUCUGGUUUCUGGAUUACCACUGCAACUUUUGCAUCUGAAGCUUAGCCUGAGUGCCAGAAAGACUGCUCAGAGGCAGCAGAAGGAUCACUACAAAGGUGGAGACCUCUCAGAUAUUGUCAAAUAGCAUUCAACAAGGGGUAACAGCAAAGCAUGCCAUUCAUG